CUUGUUCACAGCUGGCUGCUGCCUUUGCCACAGGGCACCUGAAUCUGCUGAUUGAGCCGGGGGAGUUCAAAUAUAAAGCUGGUCCUGCACUAUGGGCACCAGCCUCCCCUUCUGUGUGACACAUCUUGUGUUGACAGCUUGAUAGAAGUGCUAAACUCUCUGAAAACUAAAAGAAUCCUGGAGAGCACACAUCCCACACUCAUUAGCUUGAGGGUACACCUAUACUCCCCUAGCCUGAGUGAGAAAUCCAAAACACCAGACUGCAUCUACAGAGGUACUGGUGGAGUUUACCAGUUCAGGAUCUGA
RNAcentral lists this long non-coding RNA (306 nucleotides) under Cyanistes caeruleus (blue tit). Its description in RNAcentral is "lncRNA (ENSCCEG00000013275.1)". The record is from RNAcentral. Lineage: Eukaryota; Metazoa; Chordata; Aves; Passeriformes; Paridae.